Onychostruthus taczanowskii (white-rumped snowfinch) is the source of this 567-nucleotide long non-coding RNA. RefSeq lists it as uncharacterized. NCBI's taxonomy places the organism in Eukaryota, Metazoa, Chordata, Aves, Passeriformes, Passeridae. The record is from RefSeq and is a predicted model, not a curated record. The transcript has 3 exons.
CAGAUUUGGACUUGUUUUGAUUUCACUGCAAAAUUGUGCAAGGAUUCUGCCAACAGCAAGGCCAAUGUGUCUGAAAACAGAUGGCAUUUCCAGUACCUAAAGCCUGGUCAGUGAUUGCUUUGAGUCUGUAAGGUCAUUCUGGUUGAAGGCAUGAAGAUGAGGACAUCAAAGCCUUUGCCCAUUUAUGACAAUUACUCUGGAGACAAACACAGCUCAGAAGACAAAUGUUAUGAGCUACCUGUAAGUUCUGGUUCACAAAACAGAUGAGAAUCCAACGAUACUUCUGAACUUGGAAAUGAAAUUUAUUCUCAAGGUGGAGCCUCAUCUUGAGCAGCAUUGGGAGGGCCAAAGGUGCUUCCUUUUCCAGUUCCCUGCCUGAAUUUUAGAAGAUACCAUUUUUUAGCAUCUAGACAAGGAAAUCACAGCAAUUUCCAUGGGAAGAAUCACAGAGAUGGCAGGGCUUCCCCCCAAAACACUGCCUGUGUAAUUGCUGAAGACAUUCCAAGCCACUCUAACGAAGUGCUGUCUGCCAGUCAUUAUGUUCUCCUUGGAGGACCAUCUGUUGCA